UACAUGGGGUGCAAACGUUGCUCGGAAUUAUUGGGCGUAAAGCGCACGUAGGCGGUUCGUUAAGUCGGAUGUGAAAGCCCUCGGCUCAACUGAGGAAGUGCACCCGAAACUGGCGAGCUUAGAGUACUGAAAGAGGAUCGCGGAAUUCCCGGUGUAGAGGUGAAAUUCGUAGAUAUCGGGAGGAACACCGGUGGCGAAGGCG
Molecule: ribosomal RNA, 202 nt
Filed under: uncultured bacterium
Lineage: Bacteria
Description: partial 16S ribosomal RNA
Rfam family: Bacterial small subunit ribosomal RNA
Source: RNAcentral